Molecule: ribosomal RNA, 206 nt
Filed under: uncultured bacterium
Lineage: Bacteria
Description: partial 16S ribosomal RNA
Rfam family: Bacterial small subunit ribosomal RNA
Source: RNAcentral
CGUGUAGCCGGGAAGGCAAGUCAGAUGUGAAAUCCACGGGCUCAACUCGUGAACUGCAUUUGAAACUGUUUUUCUUGAGUAUCGGAGAGGCAAUCGGAAUUCCUAGUGUAGCGGUGAAAUGCGUAGAUAUUAGGAAGAACACCAGUGGCGAAGGCGGAUUGCUGGACGACAACUGACGGUGAGGCGCGAAAGCGUGGGAGCAAACA